Homo sapiens (human) is the source of this 317-nucleotide RNA transcript. It is a transcript of the gene named RNA binding motif protein Y-linked family 3 member A, pseudogene, with no coding region annotated. The record is from RefSeq and is marked validated. NCBI's taxonomy places the organism in Eukaryota, Metazoa, Chordata, Mammalia, Primates, Hominidae. The transcript is spliced from 3 exons.
GGAGGUCCUCCUCCUACAAAAUCUGCUCCUGUGACAAGAAGCAAUAGUCGGAUGGGAGGCCAAGAUCGACGAAGUGAUUGGAUUGAGGCUGACAUUCCUUUUCAUCCUGUGUUGCUAGCAGAUUCAUCUUAAUUUUUCUAAAAGCUCCUAGAAGUAUUCUUUGAUGGGACCUCUCAUGGUGCACCACCUGCACAAGGGCCUCGGAUGUCUUAUGGUGGAAGAAGCCGCCAUUAUUAUAACAAUACACGAGAUAGAUAUAGCAGAAGUCGGAGAGUUACUCAAGACACUGUGGUGAUUUUUAUUCCUGUUUUCAUGAG